RNAcentral lists this unclassified non-coding RNA (588 nucleotides) under Zea mays. RNAcentral's name for it is "misc RNA Zm00001eb062370". The record is from RNAcentral. Lineage: Eukaryota; Viridiplantae; Streptophyta; Magnoliopsida; Poales; Poaceae.
GCCGCGCCCACCGCGAACGGCAGCCGCUCCGCCGCCGCGCGGCGCCCCGCCUGGCUUUUGUCUGGGGCGGCGUGGCGGCGGGGGCGGUGGAGGAAGGGGCGGUGCAGCGUGGAGGAGAAGUCCUUAAAGUAGAGCACGGAGACGAAGGUGAUGAAGGCGAGCGUGAGCGCGUAGGACGUCAGGAAGGGGCUCCUGCUCCCCCGCCCGUUGGCGUGCUGCGCCUUCAUCGUCGAUCUCAUCCGACCGAGGGCCCCGAGGGGACGUCUGCUCCGGCCGGCGCUCCUUCCUUCCUUCCUCCCCCCGCCCCGCCUUCUCUACCCGCGCGCUCCCUCGCUCCUCCCUCUCGGUCCAGCUCGCAACGCAGGAUCCGCCGGACAAUGGAGACGGCCGGCGCGCCCUGAUCUCUGAUCUGGCGUUGGGUGCGCGGGAUCUAGGGCGAGGAGAAGCUCCGCAGCACCACCUGCCGCUGGAGGUGAGGCCGAAGCUUGCUUUGCUCUCGCUUUUGCGUUUGGCCGUUUGGGGCCCUGGACUUUUGGUGGAUGGAGUAGGCCAGAGUGGGUACGGGAUACAGUGCCUCCACUCCACCAG